RNAcentral lists this ribosomal RNA (254 nucleotides) under uncultured bacterium. RNAcentral's name for it is "partial 16S ribosomal RNA". It matches the Rfam family "Bacterial small subunit ribosomal RNA", at positions 524 to 776 of the family's 1533-position model. The record is from RNAcentral.
UACGUAGGGGGCUAGCGUUGUCCGGAAUCAUUGGGCGUAAAGAGCGUGUAGGCGGCCCGGUAAGUCCGCUGUGAAAGUCGGGGGCUCAACCCUCGGAUGCCGGUGGAUACUGUCGGGCUCGAGUACGGAAGAGGCGAGUGGAAUUCCUGGUGUAGCGGUGGAAUGCGUAGAGAUCCGGAAGAACACCAGUGGCGAAGGCGGCCCGCUGGGCGUGGCCGACGCUGGAGGCGCGACAGGCGUGGGGAGCAAACAGG